Molecule: ribosomal RNA, 485 nt
Filed under: uncultured Thermus sp.
Lineage: Bacteria; Thermotogati; Deinococcota; Deinococci; Thermales; Thermaceae
Description: bacterial SSU rRNA
Rfam family: Bacterial small subunit ribosomal RNA
Source: RNAcentral
AAACUUAAAUGAAUUGACGGGGGCCCGCACAAGCGGUGGAGCAUGUGGUUAAUUCGAAGCAACGCGAAGAACCUUACCAGGUCUUGACAUCCCGAUGCUAUUUCUAGAGAUAGAAAGUUACUUCGGUACAUCGGUGACAGGUGGUGCAUGGUUGUCGUCAGCUCGUGUCGUGAGAUGUUGGGUUAAGUCCCGCAACGAGCGCAACCCCCGCCGUUAGUUGCCAGCGGUUCGGCCGGGCACUCUAACGGGGACUGCCCGCGAAAGCGGGAGGAAGGAGGGGACGACGUCUGGUCAGCAUGGCCCUUACGGCCUGGGCGACACACGUGCUACAAUGCCCACUACAAAGCGAGGCCACCCGGCAACGGGGAGCUAAUCGCAAAAAGGUGGGCCCAGUUCGGAUUGGGGUCUGCAACCCGACCCCAUGAAGCCGGAAUCGCUAGUAAUCGCGGAUCAGCCAUGCCGCGGUGAAUACGUUCCCGGGCCUU